Molecule: ribosomal RNA, 877 nt
Filed under: Skoua fertilis
Lineage: Eukaryota; Fungi; Ascomycota; Leotiomycetes; Myxotrichaceae
Description: LSU rRNA
Rfam family: Eukaryotic large subunit ribosomal RNA
Source: RNAcentral
AUGCCUCAGUAACGGCGAGUGAAGCGGCAACAGCUCAAAUUUGAAAAUCUGGCCCCCUCGGGGGUCCGAGUUGUAAUUUGUAGAAGAUGCUUCGGGGUGUGGCCCCGGUCUAAGUUCCUUGGAACAGGACGUCACAGAGGGUGAGAAUCCCGUAUGUGACCGGUGGCCUCCCCCGUGUGAAGCUCUUUCGACGAGUCGAGUUGUUUGGGAAUGCAGCUCAAAAUGGGUGGUAAAUUUCAUCUAAAGCUAAAUAUUGGCCAGAGACCGAUAGCGCACAAGUAGAGUGAUCGAAAGAUGAAAAGCACUUUGGAAAGAGGGUUAAACAGUACGUGAAAUUGUUGAAAGGGAAGCGCUUGCAACCAGACUUGCGCGCGGUCGAUCAUCCGGGGUUCUCCCCGGUGCACUCGGCCGUGCGCAGGCCAGCAUCGGUUUGGGCGGCCGGACAAAGGCCUCGGGAAUGUGGCUCCUUCGGGAGUGUUAUAGCCCGAGGUGCAAUGCGGCCAGCCCGGACCGAGGACCGCGCUUCGGCUAGGAUGCUGGCGUAAUGGUUGUAAGCGGCCCGUCUUGAAACACGGACCAAGGAGUCUAACAUCUAUGCGAGUGUUUGGGUGGCAAACCCAUCCGCGUAAUGAAAGUGAACGGAGGUGAGAACCCUUAAGGGCGCAUCAUCGACCGAUCCUGAUGUCUUCGGAUGGAUUUGAGUAAGAGCAUAGCUGUUGGGACCCGAAAGAUGGUGAACUAUGCCUGAAUAGGGUGAAGCCAGAGGAAACUCUGGUGGAGGCUCGCAGCGGUUCUGACGUGCAAAUCGAUCGUCAAAUUUGGGGCAUAGGGGCGAAAGACUAAUCGAACCAUCUAGUAGCUGGGUUCCUGCCGAAGU